Small nucleolar RNA from Zingiber officinale, 106 nucleotides. Lineage: Eukaryota; Viridiplantae; Streptophyta; Magnoliopsida; Zingiberales; Zingiberaceae. The record is from RefSeq and is a predicted model, not a curated record.
AAACCAUAAUGAGGACACUAUCUUAAUAAACUUUUAAAUCUCUCCCAUGCUUCAAAUAGCGAUUCUCCAUUUGCUUAAGGAAAACUUGUAAUGCACUUCCUCAUAU